Molecule: long non-coding RNA, 339 nt
Organism: Vidua macroura (Pin-tailed whydah)
Lineage: Eukaryota; Metazoa; Chordata; Aves; Passeriformes; Viduidae
Exons: 3
Source: RefSeq, a predicted model, not a curated record
GAAGCCCCCUCGCCCAAUGGGGACAGGCAACGGGGGAGUGACGUGGACCACAGCAACCAAUGGGAACACGACAGGGGAACAGCAAACAAGAUAACAAGAGAUCAUCAGACCACUUGCUGCCUGGAAAAAAUGAAUCUUUGUAGAAGAAACCUAGCAAAAAUUCUCUUUAUAGAGCCAUCCCAUACAAAACAUGUCAUAUGAAUUGAACAAGAGUUCCCUGCAGAACUUGACUAUAAACCAAGGUGUUCCUGCAGCAGCUCAUACCUUGGAGAUUUGGAGACAGAGAAAGUGAUUGGGAAGUCUCAGAAGAGAUUCUUUUAAAGCUGGUUGACUCUAUGA